This 30-nucleotide non-coding RNA is filed under the name Homo sapiens (human). The record is from RNAcentral. Lineage: Eukaryota; Metazoa; Chordata; Mammalia; Primates; Hominidae.
UCCAGGACUGCCCCUUCCUGGGCCAACUAA